Molecule: ribosomal RNA, 274 nt
Filed under: uncultured bacterium
Lineage: Bacteria
Description: partial 16S ribosomal RNA
Rfam family: Bacterial small subunit ribosomal RNA
Source: RNAcentral
CUACGGAGGGUGCGAGCGUUAAUCGGAAUUACUGGGCGUAAAGCGUACGUAGGCGGUUGGUUAAGUUAGAUGUGAAAGCCCCGGGCUUAACCUGGGAACUGCAUUUAAAACUGGCGAACUAGAGUUGAGUAGAGGGGAGUGGAAUUUCAGGUGUAGCGGUGAAAUGCGUAGAGAUCUGAAGGAACACCAGUGGCGAAGGCGACUCCCUGGACUCGAACUGACGCUGAGGUACGAAAGCGUGGGUAGCAAACGGGAUUAGAAACCCCGGUAGUCC